RNAcentral lists this ribosomal RNA (357 nucleotides) under uncultured eukaryote. RNAcentral describes it as "SSU rRNA". It matches the Rfam family "Eukaryotic small subunit ribosomal RNA", at positions 587 to 972 of the family's 1831-position model. The record is from RNAcentral.
AGCUCCAAUAGCGUAUAUUAAAGUUGUUGCAGUUAAAAAGCUCGUAGUUGAAUUUCUGUCCAUCGGUCGCCAGCACAUUUGUGUUUGUGCGCCUGGUGGGCAUCCUUCUAAGCGUUCCUUACGGACACGUUUAGAGCCUUUACUGUGAGAAAAUUAGAGCGUUCCAAGCAAGCGAUUGCUUUGAAUACUACAGCAUGGAAUAAUACUAUAGGACUUUUGUGCCUAUUUGUUGGUGUUAGGCCGAAAGUAAUGAUUAAUAGGGGCAGUUGGGGGCAUUCGUAUUUGACAGCCAGAGGUGAAAUUCGUGGACUUGUCAAAGACGAACUACUGCGAAAGCAUUUGCCAAGGAUGUUCCCA